GUGCCAGCCGCCGCGGUAAUACGUAGGUGGCAAACGUUGUCCGGAUUCACUGGGCGUAAAGCGCGCGCAGGCGGAUUGGUCAGUCUGGGGUGAAAUCUCUCGGCUCAACUGAGAGAGGUCCCUGGAUACUGCCAGUCUUGAGGGGCUCAGAGGAGAGUGGAAUUCCGCGUGUAGUGGUGGAAUGCGUAGAUACGCGGAGGAACACCAGUGGCGAAAGCGGCUCUCUGGGGGCCACCUGACGCUGAGGCGCGAAAGCGUGGGGAGCGAACCGGAUUAGAUACCCUGGUAGUCC
RNAcentral lists this ribosomal RNA (292 nucleotides) under uncultured bacterium. Its description in RNAcentral is "partial 16S ribosomal RNA". It matches the Rfam family "Bacterial small subunit ribosomal RNA", at positions 505 to 796 of the family's 1533-position model. The record is from RNAcentral.